Molecule: ribosomal RNA, 460 nt
Filed under: uncultured bacterium
Lineage: Bacteria
Description: partial 16S ribosomal RNA
Rfam family: Bacterial small subunit ribosomal RNA
Source: RNAcentral
CCUACGGGAGGCUGCAGUGAGGAAUAUUGGUCAAUGGACGAGAGUCUGAACCAGCCAAGUAGCGUGAAGGAUGACUGCCCUAUGGGUUGUAAACUUCUUUUAUAAAGGAAUAAAACGAGGCACGUGUGCCUUUUUGCAUGUACUUUAUGAAUAAGGAUCGGCUAACUCCGUGCCAGCAGCCGCGGUAAUACGGAGGAUCCGAGCGUUAUCCGGAUUUAUUGGGUUUAAAGGGCGCGUAGAUGGGUUGUUAAGUCAGUUGUGAAAGUUUGCGGCUCAACCGUAAAAUUGCAAUUGAUACUGGCAGUCGUGAGUACAGUUGAGGUAGGCGGAAUUCGUGGUGUAGCGGUGAAAUGCUUAGAUAUCACGAAGAACCCCGAUUGCGAAGGCAGCUUACUAAACUGUGACUGACAUUGAUGCUCGAAAGUGUGGGUAUCAAACAGGAUUAGAUACCCCAGUAGUC